This 256-nucleotide ribosomal RNA is filed under the name uncultured bacterium. RNAcentral describes it as "partial 16S ribosomal RNA". It matches the Rfam family "Bacterial small subunit ribosomal RNA", at positions 524 to 776 of the family's 1533-position model. The record is from RNAcentral.
UACGGAGGGUGCGAGCGUUGUCCGGAAUCACUGGGCGUAAAGGGCGCGUAGGCGGUGCGAGAAGCGUGUGGUGAAAGGCCGGGGCUCAACUCCGGCUCGGCCGUGCGGACUCUCGCGCUUUGUGAGUGCUGUAGAGGCGGGCGGAAUUCCGGGUGUAGCGGUGAAAUGCGUAGAUAUCGGGAGGAACACCUGUGGCGAAGGCGGCCCCCUGGUUGGAUACUGACGCUGAUACGCGAAAGCGUGGGGAGCAAACAGG